This 468-nucleotide ribosomal RNA is filed under the name uncultured bacterium. RNAcentral describes it as "partial 16S ribosomal RNA". It matches the Rfam family "Bacterial small subunit ribosomal RNA", at positions 28 to 507 of the family's 1533-position model. The record is from RNAcentral.
GACGAACGCUGGCGGCGUGCUUAACACAUGCAAGUCGAACGGAAAGGCCCUGCUUUUGUUGGGUUCUCGAGUGGCGCACGCGUGAGUAACACGUGAGUAACCUGCCCUUGUCUUUGGGAUAACUUCAGGAAACUCGGGCUCAUACCGGAUAGGAGCUCCUGCUGCAUGGUGGUGGUUGGAAAGUUUCGGCGGUUGGGGAUGGACUCGCGGCUUAUGAGCUUGUUGGGGAGGUAGUGGCUGACGAAGGCUUUGACGGAUAGCCGGCCUGAGAGGGUGGCCGGGCACAUGGCGACUGAGGUAGGGACCAGACUCCAACGUGAGGCAGCGGUGGAGAACAUUGCGCAACGAGCGGAAGCCAGAUGCAGCAACGCCGCGUGCGGGAUGACCUGCUUCUGGUUGAGAACCGCUUUCGCAGGAGAUGAAGCGUGAGUGACGGUAAUGGGUAAGGAAGCACCGGCUAACUACGUG